Oncorhynchus keta (chum salmon) is the source of this 746-nucleotide long non-coding RNA. RefSeq lists it as uncharacterized. The record is from RefSeq and is a predicted model, not a curated record. The transcript has 5 exons. Lineage: Eukaryota; Metazoa; Chordata; Actinopteri; Salmoniformes; Salmonidae.
AGCUGUUAGCGCUAGGUAUAUGCAGAGUUCUGGCCUGACGGGGGUUAGCUGUUAGCGCUAGGUAUAUGCAGAGUUCUGGCCUGACGGGGGUUAGCUGUUAGCGCUAGGUAUAUGCAGAGUUCUGGCCUGACGGGGGUUAGCUGUUAGCGCUAGGUAUAUGCAGAGUUCUGGCCUGACGGGGGUUAGCUGUUAGCGCUAGGUAUAUGCAGAGUUCUGGCCUGACGGGGGUUAGCUGUUAGCGCUAGGUAUAUGCAGAGUUCUGGCCUGACGGGGGUUAGCUGUUAGCGCUAGGUAUAUGCAGAGUUCUGGCCUGACGGGGGUUAGCUGUUAGCGCUAGGUAUAUGCAGAGUUCUGGCCUGACGGGGGUUAGCUGUUAGCGCUAGGUAUAUGCAGAGUUCUGGCCUGACGGGGGUUAGCUGUUAGCGCUAGGUAUAUGCAGAGUUCUGGCCUGACGGGGGUUAGCUGUUAGCGCUAGGUAUAUGCAGAGUUCUGGCCUGACGGGGGUUAGCUGUUAGCGCUAGGUAUAUGCAGAGUUCUGGCCUGACGGGGGUUAGCUGUUAGCGCUAGGUAUAUGCAGAGUUCUGGCCUGACGGGGGUUAGCUGUUAGCGCUAGGUAUAUGCAGAGUUCUGGCCUGACGGGGGUUAGCUGUUAGCGCUAGGUAUAUGCAGAGUUCUGGCCUGACGGGGGUUAGCUGUUAGCGCUAGGUAUAUGCAGAGUUCUGGCCUGACGGGGGUUAGCUGUUAGC